RNAcentral lists this ribosomal RNA (241 nucleotides) under uncultured bacterium. Its description in RNAcentral is "partial 16S ribosomal RNA". It matches the Rfam family "Bacterial small subunit ribosomal RNA", at positions 335 to 574 of the family's 1533-position model. The record is from RNAcentral.
AUCCUACGGGGGGCAGCAGUGAGGAAUAUUGGUCAAUGGGCGAGAGCCUGAACCAGCCAAGUCGCGUGAGGGAAGACGGUCCUAUGGAUUGUAAACCUCUAUUGCCGGGGAGCAAAAAGCGGUACGGGUACCGCAUCGAGAGAAACCGGAGAAAAAGCAGCGGCUAACGCCGUGCGAGCAGCCGCGGUAAUACGGAGGAUGCGAGCGUUAUCCGGAUUUAUUGGGUUUAAAGGGUGCGCAG